Lactuca sativa (garden lettuce) is the source of this 1123-nucleotide long non-coding RNA. RefSeq lists it as uncharacterized. NCBI's taxonomy places the organism in Eukaryota, Viridiplantae, Streptophyta, Magnoliopsida, Asterales, Asteraceae. The record is from RefSeq and is a predicted model, not a curated record.
AUUUUAGCAUAGGCUAUAUUCGUCACUUACAUAUACAUUGCAAAGUAUGGCUAUUGGUAUAAAAGUCGUUAAGUUUUCAAACAAUUGUUGGUUUUACCAUUUGAUGUGCUUUGGACUCUAUUAAACAAUUGUUGGUUUUACCAUUUGAUUUGUUUUGACUCUUUUAAAGCCGGAUAUUUAAUAGAGUCUAUUAAAGCCGGAUAUUUAGGUAACCAACAGGUUACCGGUUACACAACGUAAGGUUACACUCUUACGUUGGCUUCAAUCCCCACCCACCGUCAUCUUCAUCCCCAAACCUCCUUUGUCCUCUUCUUCUCUUCGCUCUUAUCUUCUGAAUCUAACCUCAUGUGCGAUGAAUCGAUCCAUGAUGGUCUCCUUUCUUCUUCUUCUCUUCUGAAUUGAACCCCAACAUAAACCCGAUUCAGACCUUGAAGAUUAGGGCAUGUGACUGAUCAGACUUUUCUUCCUCCAUGAAAUUCGAUUCAGACAUUGGGUGAUGAACAGAUCGAUCUCCUCCACCAUCUUUCCCUUUCGAUUUUCCAUAUUGAUAUGAGGAGCUACCUUACUGCCGUCAUGCUCACAUACAUCAGAUUACAUCAUUGGAACAUGAAUCAGAGUAAAGGGGUUCAUCACCUUCAUCACCCAAUUCAGACCUUGGAGUCAAGAUGACCAUGGUGAAUAGGGUGAAGAAGAGGAGAGUGUUACCGGAGCUAGGUUUAGAUAUGGGCAAGAAUGGGAGGUGGUAGUGAACAAUAUCAAUAUAGUUAUGGUAGCGGUGGUUGAUUUCAAUGAUGGUAUCAGUGGUGGAUUUCAGGUUUGAUGUUUUUGGAAAACAUGAUGACCAAAGAGAAUAGGGGAUGAAGAAGACAAUACAACGGUGGUGAGGGGCUACUGUGUGCACCAUUAGUUAUGGAGAAUAGAGAUGGUGAUGGGUUAGAUGAGGAGAGUUUGAAUAUUUAUAGAUACAAAUUUCGAUUUGCAGGUGGGAAGGUAAUGGAAAUGGAGAUGAUUUUAGGCAUCUAUAGGGUCGUUUGAUAGUUGCUGACUAAGAAAGUGCUGAUUGAGAAAGGUCUGUCUGAGUAAUAAGUUCUGACUGAGUAAGAAACUAUGCUGUUUGAUUAUA